This 1051-nucleotide ribosomal RNA is filed under the name Staphylococcus sp. RNAcentral describes it as "bacterial SSU rRNA". It matches the Rfam family "Bacterial small subunit ribosomal RNA", at positions 62 to 1097 of the family's 1533-position model. The record is from RNAcentral. Lineage: Bacteria; Bacillati; Bacillota; Bacilli; Caryophanales; Staphylococcaceae.
UCGAGCGAACAGACGAGGAGCUUGCUCCUCUGACGUUAGCGGCGGACGGGUGAGUAACACGUGGAUAACCUACCUAUAAGACUGGGAUAACUUCGGGAAACCGGAGCUAAUACCGGAUAACAUGUUGAACCGCAUGGUUCAACAGUGAAAGACGGUCUUGCUGUCACUUAUAGAUGGAUCCGCGCCGCAUUAGCUAGUUGGUAAGGUAACGGCUUACCAAGGCAACGAUGCGUAGCCGACCUGAGAGGGUGAUCGGCCACACUGGAACUGAGACACGGUCCAGACUCCUACGGGAGGCAGCAGUAGGGAAUCUUCCGCAAUGGGCGAAAGCCUGACGGAGCAACGCCGCGUGAGUGAAGAAGGUCUUCGGAUCGUAAAACUCUGUUAUUAGGGAAGAACAAAUGUGUAAGUAACUAUGCACGUCUUGACGGUACCUAAUCAGAAAGCCACGGCUAACUACGUGCCAGCAGCCGCGGUAAUACGUAGGUGGCAAGCGUUAUCCGGAAUUAUUGGGCGUAAAGCGCGCGUAGGCGGUUUUUUAAGUCUGAUGUGAAAGCCCACGGCUCAACCGUGGAGGGUCAUUGGAAACUGGAAAACUUGAGUGCAGAAGAGGAAAGUGGAAUUCCAUGUGUAGCGGUGAAAUGCGCAGAGAUAUGGAGGAACACCAGUGGCGAAGGCGACUUUCUGGUCUGUAACUGACGCUGAUGUGCGAAAGCGUGGGGAUCAAACAGGAUUAGAUACCCUGGUAGUCCACGCCGUAAACGAUGAGUGCUAAGUGUUAGGGGGUUUCCGCCCCUUAGUGCUGCAGCUAACGCAUUAAGCACUCCGCCUGGGGAGUACGACCGCAAGGUUGAAACUCAAAGGAAUUGACGGGGACCCGCACAAGCGGUGGAGCAUGUGGUUUAAUUCGAAGCAACGCGAAGACCUUACCAAAUCUUGACAUCCCUCUGACCCCUCUAGAGAUAGAGUUUUCCCCUUCGGGGACAGAGUGACAGGUGUGCAUGUGGUCGUCAGCUCGUGUCGUGAGAUGUUGGGUAGUUCCCGCACGAGC